This 440-nucleotide ribosomal RNA is filed under the name uncultured bacterium. RNAcentral's name for it is "partial 16S ribosomal RNA". It matches the Rfam family "Bacterial small subunit ribosomal RNA", at positions 338 to 795 of the family's 1533-position model. The record is from RNAcentral.
CCUACGGGAGGCAGCAGUGGGGAAUAUUGCACAAUGGGGGAAACCCUGAUGCAGCGACGCCGCGUGAGUGAAGAAGGAUUUCGGUAUGUAAAGCUCUAUCAGCAGGGAAGAAAAUGACGGUACCUGAUUACGACGCCCCGGCUAACUACGUGCCAGCAGCCGCGGUAAUACGGAGGGGGCAAGCGUUAUCCGGAUUUACUGGGUGUAAAGGGAGCGUAGACGGCAGCACAAGUCUGUAGUUAAAUGCCGGGGCUUAACCCCGGAACAGCUUUGGAAACUGGGCAGCUAGAGUGCAGGUGAGGUAAGUGGAAUUCCUAGUGUAGCGGUGAAAUGCGUAGAUAUGAGGAGGAACACCAGUGGCGAAGGCGGCUUACUGGACUGUAACUGACGUUGAGGCUCGAAAGCGUGGGGAGCAAACAGGAUUAGAUACCCGAGUAGUC